GUCAGAUGUGAAAGCCCCGGGCUUAACCUGGGAACUGCAUUUGAAACUGGUCAACUAGAGUAUGGUAGAGGAAAGUGGAAUUUCUGGUGUAGCGGUGAAAUGCGUAGAUAUCAGAAGGAACAUCAAUGGCGAAGGCAACUUUCUGGACCAAUACUGACGCUGAGGUACGAAAGCGUGGGUAGCAAACAGGAUUAGAUACCCUGGUAGUCCACGCCGUAAACGAUGAUAACUAGCCGUUGGGGGGAUUUACCCCUUAGUGGCGAAGCUAACGCGUUAAGUUAUCCGCCUGGGGAGUACGGCCGCAAGGUUAAAACUCAAAGGAAUUGACGGGGACCCGCACAAGCGGUGGAGCAUGUGGUUUAAUUCGAUGCAACGCGAAGAACCUUACCUGGUCUUGACAUCCUGAGAACUUUCUAGAAAUAGAUUGGUGCCUUCGGGAACUCAGUGACAGGUGCUGCAUGGCUGUCGUCAGCUCGUGUCGUGAGAUGUUGGGUUAAGUCCCGUAACGAGCGCAACCCCUAUCCUUAUUUGCCAGCACAUCAUGGUGGGAACUAUAAGGAGACUGCCGGUGAUAAACCGGAGGAAGGCGGGGACGACGUCAAGUCAUCAUGGCCCUUACGACCAGGGCUACACACGUGCUACAAUGGGAAGGACAAAGAGCCGCGAAGCCGCGAGGUGUAGCUAAUCUCAGAAACCUUUUCGUAGUCCGGAUUGGAGUCUGCAACUCGACUCCAUGAAGUCGGAAUCGCUAGUAAUCGUAGAUCAGAAUGCUACGGUGAAUACGUUCCCGGGUCUUGUACACACCGCCCGUCAUACCAUGGGAGUGGGUUGCACCAGAAGUGGCUAGUCUAACUUUAUUGAGGACGGUCACCACGGUGUGAUUCAUGACUGGGGUAAAGUCGUAACAAGGUAGCCCUACCGGAAGGUGGGGCUG
Molecule: ribosomal RNA, 934 nt
Filed under: marine metagenome
Description: bacterial SSU rRNA
Rfam family: Bacterial small subunit ribosomal RNA
Source: RNAcentral